CCAUGCAGAAGCUUACCAUGCAGUCGAGGGGUAUAUUUCUUCGGAGAUAGAGACCGGCGCACGGGUGCGUAACGCGUAUGCAAUCUACCUUUUACAGAGGAAUAGCCCAGAGAAAUUUGGAUUAAUACCUCAUAGCAUAGCAAUCUCGCAUGAGAUCACUAUUAAAGUCACAACGGUAAAAGAUGAGCAUGCGUCCCAUUAGCUAGUUGGUAAGGUAACGGCUUACCAAGGCUACGAUGGGUAGGGGUCCUGAGAGGGAGAUCCCCCACACUGGUACUGAGACACGGACCAGACUCCUACGGGAGGCAGCAGUGAGGAAUAUUGGACAAUGGGCGCAAGCCUGAUCCAGCCAUGCCGCGUGCAGGAUGACGGUCCUAUGGAUUGUAAACUGCUUUUGUACGAGAAGAAACACUCCUAUGUAUAGGAGCUUGACGGUAUCGUAAGAAUAAGGAUCGGCUAACUCCGUGCCAGCAGCCGCGGUAAUACGGAGGAUCCAAGCGUUAUCCGGAAUCAUUGGGUUUAAAGGGUCCGUAGGCGGUUUAGUAAGUCAGUGGUGAAAGCCCAUCGCUCAACGGUGGAACGGCCAUUGAUACUGCUGAACUUGAAUUAUUAGGAAGUAACUAGAAUAUGUAGUGUAGCGGUGAAAUGCUUAGAGAUUACAUGGAAUACCAAUUGCGAAGGCAGGUUACUACUAAUGGAUUGACGCUGAUGGACGAAAGCGUGGGUAGCGAACAGGAUUAGAUACCCUGGUAGUCCACGCCGUAACGAUGGAUACUAGCUGUUGGGGGCAACUUCAGUGGCUAAGCGAAAGUGAUAGUAU
RNAcentral lists this ribosomal RNA (820 nucleotides) under uncultured bacterium. RNAcentral's name for it is "bacterial SSU rRNA". It matches the Rfam family "Bacterial small subunit ribosomal RNA", at positions 42 to 867 of the family's 1533-position model. The record is from RNAcentral.